Molecule: long non-coding RNA, 811 nt
Filed under: Homo sapiens (human)
Lineage: Eukaryota; Metazoa; Chordata; Mammalia; Primates; Hominidae
Description: PRKCQ antisense RNA 1
Source: RNAcentral
CGGAGCUGCCACAACCCAUCUUCCCACAACUCGGAACUUGGAAAAAGGAACCCAGGACACGACUUUGCUUUUCUUUUGGACCUAGUUGCAACUUUUAAAAGCCUUUCCACUGCACAGUGAAAGAAAACCACAAACUCCUUGUUUAAUAAGUGGGAUCACGUGCUUUUAACACGAGGAAAAGGUCAAUCUGAAGCAACUGAUAUGGAACUGCCAGAGUAGGAGUUGAAAAUCUUCCUAAACUGCUGGAGGAUACACCUCUGAUAGCUUGAGACAAAUAUCCUCUUGAUCAUUGUUUCACCAUAUUUGUCUUUGCUCAUGGAGAACCAUUUUGAUCCGUGGUUUAGCCUCCCAGGUGAUUGAACAAUACCGGUGAUCUGAGGCAGACCCUCUGUGACGGAUAACAGGAGUCCAUUCUCAAUUUUCUGUGCAAAUUGGGGAAGGCUGUUGAUAAUCGGUGGAUGCUAUAGUGCCCAUGGAAAGACUCUAGUCUGAAGAUACCAGUCUCUCCCUCCCAAGAUCACCUCCCCUGACCAACCUUCUGCACUCCUGACAGAUACAAGGGAGCAAGCAAGUUGCACCCAACCUAAUAGUAAAUUGCAGGGACAUUUCCAUUCUAAGGAAGGAAUUUUUGUGUGUGUUGCAACUCAGCUUCUGCUCUGGCAUUUUGCUGUGCAUUUAUAUUGCCAAUCAUGUUGGAGAGUCCAUGUGGUGAUUUCUGAAAACGAGAUGUGAGAAAGAAGAGGAUAAUUUAAGUCUAGACCUACAGAUUGUGCUGAUAAAGUGAUGAAGAACUACAAUCUUCUUAGUCAUU